UUCAGACAGUUUCUAGAGAAUGAAAUCUUCUAUUUUUCUACCAAACUGAUAAAGCAACUAGUGAUUACGGUGCAAACAUCACCAUGCUGCCCCCUCACUGAUGUGUCUUAACCUUGACCUCAUCUAGAGAGGAGAAAGGGAGGUCAGUCUCCAUGGCCCCUUGAGUCCUUUACCUCU
RNAcentral lists this small RNA (177 nucleotides) under Chelonoidis abingdonii (Abingdon island giant tortoise). RNAcentral describes it as "TUC338 (ENSCABG00000015636.1)". Lineage: Eukaryota; Metazoa; Chordata; Testudines; Testudinidae. The record is from RNAcentral.